Molecule: signal recognition particle RNA, 246 nt
Filed under: Chlorocebus sabaeus (green monkey)
Lineage: Eukaryota; Metazoa; Chordata; Mammalia; Primates; Cercopithecidae
Description: Metazoan signal recognition particle RNA
Rfam family: Metazoan signal recognition particle RNA
About the family: The signal recognition particle (SRP) is a universally conserved ribonucleoprotein. It is involved in the co-translational targeting of proteins to membranes.
Source: Rfam by way of RNAcentral
GCUGGGCACAAUGGUGCACACCUGUAGUCCUAGCUCAAGCAGGAGGAUGGCAGUGCACUAUGCCAACCAGGUGUCCACACUAUGUUCAGCAUUAAUAUGGUGACCUCCCAGGAGCAGGGGACCACCAGGUUGCUUAAAGAGGGGUGAACCGACCCAGGUCAGAAAUGGAGCAGGUCAAAACUCCUGUGCUGAUCAGUAGUGGGAUUCUGCCAAUGAAUAGCCACUACACUCCAGCCUGGGCAACAU